CUUGUACUCCCUCCAUCCGAAAAUACUUGUCAUCAAAAUGGAUAAAAAGAGAUGUAUCUAACAUUUUAGACACAUCUCUUUUUAUCCAUUUUGAUGACAAGUAUUUUUGGACGGAGGGAGUACUUC
Molecule: non-coding RNA, 126 nt
Organism: Triticum aestivum (bread wheat)
Lineage: Eukaryota; Viridiplantae; Streptophyta; Magnoliopsida; Poales; Poaceae
Source: Rfam